AUGGCUGAGCAAUUUGCAGGCCAAAAAGACCUGAGACUCCCUGGGGUGAAGGGAAAUGCCACAGACAUCCAUGGUCUUGGAUGCUCAACAGAAGUGCUUGCCUUGGUGAUCCAAAAAAGGCAGGAUCCGGCCGGGGGCAAGGUGAUUAUUCUGUCUGAUGAGGAGAAUAAGAGCCAGUUUGUGGUAUUGACAGAAGAAUGAAAGUAAAGGAGGCAAAACCAGUUCAACCAAUCUACAAAGGCCAAAAAUAUUUUCACAGGCCCCCAAAAGAUGAACUCCAAUCUGCUGCCCCUAAACGCAUUCUCCACUGUCUGGAAGAUGUGCAAAGGCAACGGCACAGCGUUCUCCAUCUCAAAUCCUUCAAAGUGCUGUCAGAAUAAAAGAAUCCCCACCAAAAGCCCCAGGGAAAUCUAUCUGUCUGUAUGGUAUGGUAAUGACUGAGGUUAUUCCAGAUAGGAUUCUGGGAGAAACUCAGCUAUUGAAAUCUAAUGAAUGGAACUGAGAAUUUCUUGUUAUAAUACUGUUUGUUUGAUUGAAUAUAUCCUUGCAUAUAGGAAGACAUAAAAAUAAAUAAUAAAAGCAAGAU
Molecule: long non-coding RNA, 586 nt
Filed under: Homo sapiens (human)
Lineage: Eukaryota; Metazoa; Chordata; Mammalia; Primates; Hominidae
Description: long intergenic non-protein coding RNA 1013
Source: RNAcentral